This 1542-nucleotide ribosomal RNA is filed under the name Escherichia coli. RNAcentral's name for it is "partial 23S ribosomal RNA". It matches the Rfam family "Bacterial large subunit ribosomal RNA", at positions 1273 to 2798 of the family's 2925-position model. RNAcentral also lists the same sequence under 1 other name. Lineage: Bacteria; Pseudomonadati; Pseudomonadota; Gammaproteobacteria; Enterobacterales; Enterobacteriaceae. The record is from RNAcentral.
CUGGAGGUAUCAGAAGUGCGAAUGCUGACAUAAGUAACGAUAAAGCGGGUGAAAAGCCCGCUCGCCGGAAGACCAAGGGUUCCUGUCCAACGUUAAUCGGGGCAGGGUGAGUCGACCCCUAAGGCGAGGCCGAAAGGCGUAGUCGAUGGGAAACAGGUUAAUAUUCCUGUACUUGGUGUUACUGCGAAGGGGGGACGGAGAAGGCUAUGUUGGCCGGGCGACGGUUGUCCCGGUUUAAGCGUGUAGGCUGGUUUUCCAGGCAAAUCCGGAAAAUCAAGGCUGAGGCGUGAUGACGAGGCACUACGGUGCUGAAGCAACAAAUGCCCUGCUUCCAGGAAAAGCCUCUAAGCAUCAGGUAACAUCAAAUCGUACCCCAAACCGACACAGGUGGUCAGGUAGAGAAUACCAAGGCGCUUGAGAGAACUCGGGUGAAGGAACUAGGCAAAAUGGUGCCGUAACUUCGGGAGAAGGCACGCUGAUAUGUAGGUGAAGUCCCUCGCGGAUGGAGCUGAAAUCAGUCGAAGAUACCAGCUGGCUGCAACUGUUUAUUAAAAACACAGCACUGUGCAAACACGAAAGUGGACGUAUACGGUGUGACGCCUGCCCGGUGCCGGAAGGUUAAUUGAUGGGGUUAGCCGCAAGGCGAAGCUCUUGAUCGAAGCCCCGGUAAACGGCGGCCGUAACUAUAACGGUCCUAAGGUAGCGAAAUUCCUUGUCGGGUAAGUUCCGACCUGCACGAAUGGCGUAAUGAUGGCCAGGCUGUCUCCACCCGAGACUCAGUGAAAUUGAACUCGCUGUGAAGAUGCAGUGUACCCGCGGCAAGACGGAAAGACCCCGUGAACCUUUACUAUAGCUUGACACUGAACAUUGAGCCUUGAUGUGUAGGAUAGGUGGGAGGCUUUGAAGUGUGGACGCCAGUCUGCAUGGAGCCGACCUUGAAAUACCACCCUUUAAUGUUUGAUGUUCUAACGUUGACCCGUAAUCCGGGUUGCGGACAGUGUCUGGUGGGUAGUUUGACUGGGGCGGUCUCCUCCUAAAGAGUAACGGAGGAGCACGAAGGUUGGCUAAUCCUGGUCGGACAUCAGGAGGUUAGUGCAAUGGCAUAAGCCAGCUUGACUGCGAGCGUGACGGCGCGAGCAGGUGCGAAAGCAGGUCAUAGUGAUCCGGUGGUUCUGAAUGGAAGGGCCAUCGCUCAACGGAUAAAAGGUACUCCGGGGAUAACAGGCUGAUACCGCCCAAGAGUUCAUAUCGACGGCGGUGUUUGGCACCUCGAUGUCGGCUCAUCACAUCCUGGGGCUGAAGUAGGUCCCAAGGGUAUGGCUGUUCGCCAUUUAAAGUGGUACGCGAGCUGGGUUUAGAACGUCGUGAGACAGUUCGGUCCCUAUCUGCCGUGGGCGCUGGAGAACUGAGGGGGGCUGCUCCUAGUACGAGAGGACCGGAGUGGACGCAUCACUGGUGUUCGGGUUGUCAUGCCAAUGGCACUGCCCGGUAGCUAAAUGCGGAAGAGAUAAGUGCUGAAAGCAUCUAAGCACGAAACUUGCC